RNAcentral lists this ribosomal RNA (253 nucleotides) under uncultured bacterium. RNAcentral's name for it is "partial 16S ribosomal RNA". It matches the Rfam family "Bacterial small subunit ribosomal RNA", at positions 524 to 776 of the family's 1533-position model. The record is from RNAcentral.
UACGGAGGGUGCGAGCGUUGUUCGGAAUUACUGGGCGUAAAGGGCGUGUAGGCGGUUUUUUAAGUCAGGGGUGAAAUCCCAGGGCUCAACCCCGGAACUGCCCCUGAAACUGGGAAGCUAGAGUUUUGGAGAGGCGAGUGGAAUUCCCAGUGUAGAGGUGAAAUUCGUAGAUAUUGGGAAGAACACCAGUGGCGAAGGCGACUCGCUGCACAAGUACUGACGCUGAGGUGCGAAAGCGUGGGGAGCAAACAGG